AACGAACGCUGGCGGCAGGCCUAACACAUGCAAGUCGAACGAUGUAGCAAUACAUAGUGGCGCACGGGUGAGUAACGCGUGGGAAUGUACCAUUUGGUGGGGAAUAACUCCGGGAAACUGGAGCUAAUACCGCAUACGCCCUUCGGGGGAAAGAUUUAUCGCCAAAUGAUCAGCCCGCGUGAGAUUAGAUAGUUGGUGGGGUAAUGGCCUACAAAGUGUACGAUCUCUAGCUGGUCUCAGAGGAUGAUCAGCCACACUGGAACUGAGACACGGUCCAGACUCCUACGGGAGGCAGCAGUGGGGAAUAUUGGGCAAUGGGCGCAAGCCUGACCCAGCCAUGCCGCGUGAGUGAUGAAGGCUCUAGGGUUGUAAAGCUCUUUCGCCGAUGAAGAUAAUGACGGUAGUCGGAGAAGAAGCCCCGGCUAACUUCGUGCCAGCCGCCGCGGUAA
RNAcentral lists this ribosomal RNA (449 nucleotides) under uncultured bacterium. RNAcentral describes it as "partial 16S ribosomal RNA". It matches the Rfam family "Bacterial small subunit ribosomal RNA", at positions 29 to 523 of the family's 1533-position model. The record is from RNAcentral.